AUCUUAUCAUCUAUGGACCCCAUAUAUGCAGAAGUAAAUUUUUGAAAUAAAAUAUUUGUUUGUAGGUUAGUAAAAUCUAACAAUGAGCCAAAAAUUACAAUU
Long non-coding RNA from Octopus sinensis (East Asian common octopus), 102 nucleotides. RefSeq lists it as uncharacterized. The record is from RefSeq and is a predicted model, not a curated record. The transcript is spliced from 3 exons. Lineage: Eukaryota; Metazoa; Mollusca; Cephalopoda; Octopoda; Octopodidae.